CUGGUGAGUAACACGUGGGAAACCUGCCCAGAAGCGGGGGAUAACACCUGGAAACAGAUGCUAAUACCGCAUAACAACUUGGACCGCAUGGUCCGAGUUUGAAAGAUGGCUUCGGCUAUCACUUUUGGAUGGUCCCGCGGCGUAUUAGCUAGAUGGUGGGGUAACGGCUCACCAUGGCAAUGAUACGUAGCCGACCUGAGAGGGUAAUCGGCCACAUUGGGACUGAGACACGGCCCAAACUCCUACGGGAGGCAGCAGUAGGGAAUCUUCCACAAUGGACGAAAGUCUGAUGGAGCAACGCCGCGUGAGUGAAGAAGGGUUUCGGCUCGUAAAACUCUGUUGUUAAAGAAGAACAUAUCUGAGAGUAACUGUUCAGGUAUUGACGGUAUUUAACCAGAAAGCCACGGCUAACUACGUGCCAGCAGCCGCGGUAAUACGUAGGUGGCAAGCGUUGUCCGGAUUUAUUGGGCGUAAAGCGAGCGCAGGCGGUUUUUUAAGUCUGAUGUGAAAGCCUUCGGCUCAACCGAAGAAGUGCAUCGGAAACUGGGAAACUUGAGUGCAGAAGAGGACAGUGGAACUCCAUGUGUAGCGGUGAAAUGCGUAGAUAUAUGGAAGAACACCAGUGGCGAAGGCGGCUGUCUGGUCUGUAACUGACGCUGAGGCUCGAAAGUAUGGGUAGCAAACAGGAUUAGAUACCCUGGUAGUCCAUACCGUAAACGAUGAAUGCUAAGUGUUGGAGGGUUUCCGCCCUUCAGUGCUGCAGCUAACGCAUUAAGCAUUCCGCCUGGGGAGUACGGCCGCAAGGCUGAAACUCAAAGGAAUUGACGGGGCCCGCACAAGCGGUGGAGCAUGUGGUUUAAUUCGAAGCUACGCGAAGAACCUUACCAGUCUUGACAUACUAUGCAAUCUAA
This 911-nucleotide ribosomal RNA is filed under the name Lactiplantibacillus plantarum. RNAcentral's name for it is "bacterial SSU rRNA". It matches the Rfam family "Bacterial small subunit ribosomal RNA", at positions 103 to 1001 of the family's 1533-position model. The record is from RNAcentral. Lineage: Bacteria; Bacillati; Bacillota; Bacilli; Lactobacillales; Lactobacillaceae.